This 235-nucleotide long non-coding RNA is filed under the name Hordeum vulgare. RNAcentral's name for it is "long non-coding RNA (HVUL_LNC012306)". The record is from RNAcentral. Lineage: Eukaryota; Viridiplantae; Streptophyta; Magnoliopsida; Poales; Poaceae.
CUACGAAAAAAGGCAAAAAAAGGCCGCUGACACCGACGCGGAAGGUAUCCCUUGUGGAGGUGCGGAGAUCAUGUGUCGUCUUCUACCCAUCGAUGAUGACGACAAGUGAAAUUGUCACACAGGUACGACUACACACGUGGGAAAGAGACCUUGGCACAUUGCACCCCAGAAGUGCUUCCUGGCAACACCCAGCCGAGUGUGGAGAAGUACCCAUUCUUCACGGUAUACUUCUACC